This 244-nucleotide small RNA is filed under the name Vigna angularis var. angularis. RNAcentral's name for it is "Non-protein coding transcript". Lineage: Eukaryota; Viridiplantae; Streptophyta; Magnoliopsida; Fabales; Fabaceae. The record is from RNAcentral.
GAGAGUUAAGGCACUGGAAUUAGUUAACAUGUUUCUGAAUUCGGAAUACUGGGCAGAUCUUUUCUCAACAAUUGUUACAAAAGCACGCUUAAUCAAAGUACUUGAAAAUGGUUCAAACCGAAGGGGAGUUUUGUUGUUGAUGAGUGAAGAGCUGCAUGUUCUUUCACCUUUAGUUCCAUCUCGGGAAAUGUUCUUCCUUCGUUAUUGUGAACAGAUUGAAACACAUUCAUGGGUGAUAGUAGAU